AAAUUGUAUAAAUCAGGAUUUGGACUUAAUAAACAUCCAGUUCAACUAAAUCUUAAAGAGUAUUCAAAAUUACACUUUUUUGGGGAGGUAUUUUAAGUUCAGCAUCAAGCUAAUUUUCAUCCACACAUAAACCUGAUAUCCAUUCAAUGAAUCUAUCUGACUAUAACAUCAAAAUCUACAUAUCAUGACACUAAAACCAACAUUAAAUUCAAAUGCCUCUUCAUUUCAAGUCCUCUGAUAUCCAAGUAUUACACUAAAUGGAAAAAACCAAAAAAAAAUACAUGCAUGCGGAA
This 293-nucleotide unclassified non-coding RNA is filed under the name Hevea brasiliensis (rubber tree). Lineage: Eukaryota; Viridiplantae; Streptophyta; Magnoliopsida; Malpighiales; Euphorbiaceae. The record is from RNAcentral.